CUGGUUGAUCCUGCCAGACCCGACUGCUAUCGGAUUGGGACUAAGCCAUGCGAGUCAGCUCCGCAAGGGGUGGCGCACGGCUCAGUAACACGUAGUCAACCUACCCUGGGGACGGGGAUAACCUCGGGAAACUGAGGCUAAACCCCGAUGGGCCAUGGCUCCUGGAAUGGGCUAUGGCUGAAAUCUACAUGGCCCCAGGAUGGGACUGCGGCCGAUCAGGUUGUUGGUGGGGUAAUGGCCCACCAAGCCUAUAACCGGUGCGGGCUCUGAGAGGAGGAGCCCGGAGAUGGGCACUGAGACAAGGGCCCAGGUCCUAUGGGGCGCAGCAGGCGCGAAACCUCCGCAAUGGGCGAAAGCCCGACGGGGUCAGUCCGAGUGGUUCCCGCUGAGGGAACCUUUUGCCAGCUGUAAACAGGCUGGCGAAUAAGGGGUGGGCAAGUUUGGUGUCAGCCGCCGCGGUAAUACCAGCACCCCGAGUGGUCGGGACGAUUAUUGGGCCUAAAGCAUCCGUAGCCGGCCCAGUAAGUCCUCCGUUAAAUCCAACGGCUCAACCGUUGGGCUGCGGGGGAUACUGCUGGGCUAGGGGACGGGAGAGGCGAGGGGUAUUCCCGGGGUAGGGGUAAAAUCCACUGAUCCCGGGAGGACCACCAGUGGCGAAGGCGCCUCGCUAGAACGUGCCCGACGGUGAGGGAUGAAAGCUGGGGGAGCGAACCGGAUUAGAUACCCGGGUAGUCCCAGCCGUAAACGAUGUAGGCUCGGUGUUGGGCUGCCUCAGUGGCAGCCCAGUGCCGCAGGGAAGCCGUUAAGCCUACCGCCUGGGGAGUACGGCCGCAAGGCUGAAACUUAAAGGAAUUGGCGGGGGAGCACCAC
This 870-nucleotide ribosomal RNA is filed under the name uncultured archaeon. RNAcentral's name for it is "bacterial SSU rRNA". It matches the Rfam family "Archaeal small subunit ribosomal RNA", at positions 4 to 882 of the family's 1478-position model. The record is from RNAcentral.